This 327-nucleotide ribosomal RNA is filed under the name uncultured eukaryote. Its description in RNAcentral is "partial 18S ribosomal RNA". It matches the Rfam family "Eukaryotic small subunit ribosomal RNA", at positions 1470 to 1796 of the family's 1831-position model. The record is from RNAcentral.
CCCUUAGAUGUUCUGGGCCGCACGCGCGCUACACUGACGGAGCCAACGAGUACUUUCCUUGUCCGGAAGGACUGGGUAAUCUUGUGAAACUUCGUCGUGCUGGGGAUAGAGCAUUGCAAUUAUUGCUCUUCAACGAGGAAUUCCUAGUAAGCGUGAGUCAUCAGCUCGCGUUGAUUACGUCCCUGCCCUUUGUACACACCGCCCGUCGCUACUACUGAUUGGAUGUUUAAGCGAGGUUCUCGAACUGCUAGCGACUUAGCUUCGGUGAGGUCGCAGUGUGGGAAGUGAACCUAGCUUUGGUGUCUAGAGGAAGUAAAAGUCGUAACA